RNAcentral lists this ribosomal RNA (425 nucleotides) under uncultured bacterium. Its description in RNAcentral is "bacterial SSU rRNA". It matches the Rfam family "Bacterial small subunit ribosomal RNA", at positions 354 to 796 of the family's 1533-position model. The record is from RNAcentral.
GUGGGGAAUCUUGCGCAAUGGGCGAAAGCCUGACGCAGCCAUGCCGCGUGAAUGAUGAAGGUCUUAGGAUUGUAAAAUUCUUUCACCGGGGACGAUAAUGACGGUACCCGGAGAAGAAGCCCCGGCUAACUUCGUGCCAGCAGCCGCGGUAAUACGAAGGGGGCUAGCGUUGCUCGGAAUUACUGGGCGUAAAGGGCGCGUAGGCGGACAUUUAAGUCAGGGGUGAAAUCCCAGAGCUCAACUCUGGAACUGCCUUUGAUACUGGGUGUCUUGAGUGUGAGAGAGGUAUGUGGAACUCCGAGUGUAGAGGUGAAAUUCGUAGAUAUUCGGAAGAACACCAGUGGCGAAGGCGACAUACUGGCUCAUUACUGACGCUGAGGCGCGAAAGCGUGGGGAGCAAACAGGAUUAGAAACCCGAGUAGUCC